AGCAGCAGCCGCGGGAAUACAGAGGGUGCGAGCGUUAAUCGGAUUUACUGGGCGUAAAGCGUGCGUAGGCGGCUUCUUAAGUCGGAUGUGAAAUCCCUGAGCUUAACUUAGGAAUUGCAUUCGAUACUGGGAAGCUAGAUUAUGGGAGAGGAUGGUAGAAUUCCAGGUGUAGCGGUGAAAUGCGUAGAGAUCUGGAGGAAUACCGAUGGCGAAGGCAGCCAUCUGGCCUAAUACUGACGCUGAGGUACGAAAGCAUGGGGAGCAAACAGGAUUAGAUACCCCAGUAGUCCCUGUCUCUUAUAC
This 303-nucleotide ribosomal RNA is filed under the name uncultured bacterium. Its description in RNAcentral is "partial 16S ribosomal RNA". It matches the Rfam family "Bacterial small subunit ribosomal RNA", at positions 507 to 807 of the family's 1533-position model. The record is from RNAcentral.